UGGCUCCUGCCUCCCCAGUGGCCGGGCUCGCCUCGGCACUUGCUUCUCCGGACUUGGGGUGAAGUCCUUGCCUGCGGGAACCCGGUUUCUUCAGGAGCCACCCCAGAGCGAGGGAACGGUGAGGACAUCUCCCUGCCCGGGACUGGCUGCAGAGCGAGUACAAAGAUGGUGCCUCCGGUACAAGAUCAGAGACCCACAACAGAAGGUGCGUUUACACUUGCUGCUGUCUGACCCAGGCUGACGGCCCUGAAAUGACAAGAAAUGUUCCCUCACAGCGAUUGGUGUCAUUUGGGGAUGUCUUUGUGAACUUCUCUGGGAGCAGUGGCGGGACCUGAAUGAUGCUUAAACGACCCUGUACCAGGAUAUGAUGCUGGAGACCUGCAGUCACCUGGUGUCCCUAGGUGAGGAAAGUCCGAUGUUAUACUCGAGUGCAGCGCUGUUUUCUACACUGACUGAAGUUUGGCUUGAUCGAAGACCAUCACUGUUUUUCAUCACAGGGCAUUGUGUAUUGAUCCUCGGCUGGGAGCAGAGGACACAGCCAUGGAAUAUGGAAGAACCCUCGAACCAUAACCUCUCAGGUCAGUCAGUGCCCACCUGGCUGGGAGGAGGAGACAC
Talpa occidentalis (Iberian mole) is the source of this 615-nucleotide long non-coding RNA. RefSeq lists it as uncharacterized. The transcript is spliced from 3 exons. NCBI's taxonomy places the organism in Eukaryota, Metazoa, Chordata, Mammalia, Eulipotyphla, Talpidae. The record is from RefSeq and is a predicted model, not a curated record.